UAGCUUUGAUCCGGAGGAUUCCGAAUGGGGGAACCCAGCGGGUGUAAUGCCCUGUUAUCGAUUUAUAUCGAGGCGAGACCCGCUGAASUGAUACAUCUCAGUAAGCGGAGGAAAGGAAAUCACAUAGAUUCCCUCAGUAGCGGCGAGCGAAAGGGGAAGAGCCCAGACCGSAUGAGCUUGCUCUUGCGGGGUUGUAGGACUUGGCCACAUGACGCUGAACACCUUUAUCCAAAGGACCUGGAAAGGUCUGCGACACAGGGUGAUGGCCCCGUAGGCGAAAAGGGUGUUGGCGUUGGCCUAGCUCCUGAGUAGGUCCGGACACGUGAAGCCCGGUCUGAAUCUGGGGAGACCACUCUCCAAGGCUAAAUACUCGUUGAUGACCGAUAGUGAACCUGUACCGUGAGGGAAAGGMAAAGAGAACCCCUUGUAGGGGAGUGAAAUAGAUCCUGAAAUCGACAGCUUACACACAGUCGAAGGUC
RNAcentral lists this ribosomal RNA (479 nucleotides) under uncultured Chlamydiales bacterium. RNAcentral's name for it is "bacterial LSU rRNA". It matches the Rfam family "Bacterial large subunit ribosomal RNA", at positions 94 to 582 of the family's 2925-position model. The record is from RNAcentral. Lineage: Bacteria; Pseudomonadati; Chlamydiota; Chlamydiia; Chlamydiales.